Megachile rotundata (alfalfa leafcutting bee) is the source of this 819-nucleotide long non-coding RNA. The record is from RefSeq and is a predicted model, not a curated record. Lineage: Eukaryota; Metazoa; Arthropoda; Insecta; Hymenoptera; Megachilidae.
ACUGCAUUUUUUUCGUGUAUCUCGACUAAGUUCAAAAUGCUCUUCACCAAUAUAUAGUGCCAAUUUACUGUUAAUAUUUAAUAUUUAACAUUUAACAAUAAAAUUCUAUUCCAAACCCCACUAUUCUAUACGAAUACGAAAUUGGAAUAUGGCGCUGUUAGAAACAAAAGGUUUCUUCAAUGCUCAAUGAACAUUAUGGCGGUCUUUUAAGGUUGGGAUUUCUACCAUCCACUGGUGUUCCACAUCUUGAUUUUACUUAUACUAUGGUCGACGCAAGGGCUUUCGGUACAAUAGUCUCUAACCUUCGUACGCUUAGAAGCGGCGACUGGUUCGGUCGUGUUCCGUUAUUCUAACUGUUAUUACAUAGUAAGUCGAAAUUAUACCUAAUAUAUGUACCUUUUUCUUAAAACUAGUAUGCAAAAAUGGGUAUUAUGUACUAAGAUAUUGUUAAAUUUAAUUUUAUAUACAUAUCUUUGACAAUAUUACAGUAUAAAUCUGCAUACAUAUAUAUUUCAUUUAUAUGAAAAUUUGAAACCAAACAUUUCAAUACAAGCCACGUGCUUUUCAUUUUAAUUGAUAUAAUAUUUCUUUUAGGUUAUCACCAACAUGCGAAGAUAAUCUGUAUAUAUUAUUUGCUAAUUCUAAUAAUAAAAAAUUAAUAUUAAUAUUAAUUUCUAGGUGUGAUGCUGCAUAAUUCUUACAGAGAUGAAAUAGAAGUCGUGGAAGAGUCAGAAAUAUAAUUCAGCAUAUUAAUGAUAUGUAAUACAUUUUUUUAUUGUAUAAGAAACAUAAUUUAAUAAAUAAAGUUUUAUAAAAAAA